GGGCCUAUAGUUUUAACGGUAAAACAUCGGUCUCCAAAACCGAGGUUCCAGGUUCAAGUCCUGGUGGGCCCGCAA
Molecule: transfer RNA, 75 nt
Filed under: Candidatus Zambryskibacteria bacterium RIFCSPLOWO2_12_FULL_45_14
Lineage: Bacteria; Candidatus Zambryskiibacteriota
Description: tRNA-Trp
Rfam family: tRNA
About the family: Transfer RNA (tRNA) molecules are approximately 80 nucleotides in length. Their secondary structure includes four short double-helical elements and three loops (D, anti-codon, and T loops).
Source: RNAcentral